GGCGGCGUAGCCAAGAGGCUAAGGCAGAGGUCUGCAAAACCUUUAUUCAGCGGUUCGAAUCCGCUCGCCGCCUCAA
This 76-nucleotide transfer RNA is filed under the name bacterium. Its description in RNAcentral is "tRNA-Cys". It matches the Rfam family "tRNA". Rfam says of the family: Transfer RNA (tRNA) molecules are approximately 80 nucleotides in length. Their secondary structure includes four short double-helical elements and three loops (D, anti-codon, and T loops). The record is from RNAcentral.